GCCUCUUUAGCUCAGCUGGUAGAGCAACUGACUUGUAAUCAGUAGGUCGCUGGUUCGAUCCCGGCAAGGGGGC
Molecule: transfer RNA, 73 nt
Filed under: Nitritalea halalkaliphila LW7
Lineage: Bacteria; Pseudomonadati; Bacteroidota; Cytophagia; Cytophagales; Cyclobacteriaceae
Rfam family: tRNA
About the family: Transfer RNA (tRNA) molecules are approximately 80 nucleotides in length. Their secondary structure includes four short double-helical elements and three loops (D, anti-codon, and T loops). Further hydrogen bonds mediate the characteristic L-shaped molecular structure. tRNAs have two regions of fundamental functional importance: the anti-codon, which is responsible for specific mRNA codon recognition, and the 3' end, to which the tRNAs corresponding amino acid is attached (by aminoacyl-tRNA synthetases). tRNAs cope with the degeneracy of the genetic code in two manners: having more than one tRNA (with a specific anti-codon) for a particular amino acid; and 'wobble' base-pairing, i.e. permitting non-standard base-pairing at the 3rd anti-codon position.
Source: Rfam by way of RNAcentral